Molecule: ribosomal RNA, 574 nt
Filed under: uncultured Actinomycetes bacterium
Lineage: Bacteria; Bacillati; Actinomycetota; Actinomycetes
Description: bacterial SSU rRNA
Rfam family: Bacterial small subunit ribosomal RNA
Source: RNAcentral
ACGCAUUAAGCGCCCCGCCUGGGGAGUACGAUCGCAAGAUUAAAACUCAAAGGAAUUGACGGGGCCCCGCACAAGCAGCGGAGCAUGCGGCUUAAUUCGACGCAACGCGAAGAACCUUACCAAGGCUUGACAUAUACAGGAAUACGGCAGAGAUGUCGUAGCGGUUAAACGUCUGUAUACAGGUGGUGCAUGGUUGUCGUCAGCUCGUGUCGUGAGAUGUUGGGUUAAGUCCCGCAACGAGCGCAACCCUCGUUCUGUGUUGCCAGCAUUUAGUUGGGGACUCACAGGAGACUGCCGGGGUUAACUCGGAGGAAGGUGGGGAUGACGUCAAAUCAUCAUGCCCCUUAUGUCUUGGGCUGCACGCAUGCUACAAUGGCUGGUACAAAGGGCUGCAAUACUGCAAAGUGGAGCGAAUCCCAAAAAGCCAGUCUCAGUUCGGAUUGGGGUCUGCAACUCGACCCCAUGAAGUCGGAGUUGCUAGUAAUCGUAGAUCAGCAACGCUACGGUGAAUACGUUCCCGGGGCUUGUACACACCGCCCGUCACAUCACGAAAGUCGUAACACCCGAAGUCAGU